UACAGAGGAUGCAAGCGUUAUCCGGAUUUAUUGGGUUUAAAGGGUGCGUAGGCGGCCUUGUAAGUCAGGGGUGAAAGACGGUAGCUUAACUAUCGCAGUGCCUUUGAUACUGCAGGGCUUGAAUGUACUUGAGGUAGGCGGAAUGUGACAAGUAGCGGUGAAAUGCAUAGAUAAGUCACAGAACACCAAUUGCGAAGGCAGCUUACUAAGGUAUGAUUGACGCUGAGGCACGAAAGCGUGGGGAUCAAACAGG
Molecule: ribosomal RNA, 253 nt
Filed under: uncultured bacterium
Lineage: Bacteria
Description: partial 16S ribosomal RNA
Rfam family: Bacterial small subunit ribosomal RNA
Source: RNAcentral